AUUGAACGCUGGCGGCAUGCCUUACACAUGCAAGUCGAACGGCAGCACGGGGGCAACCCUGGUGGCGAGUGGCGAACGGGUGAGUAACACAUCGGAACGUGCCCAGUAGUGGGGGAUAGCUCGGCGAAAGCCGGAUUAAUACCGCAUACGACCUACGGGUGAAAGCGGGGGAUCGCAAGACCUCGCGCUAUCGGAGCGGCCGAUGUCAGAUUAGGUUGUUGGUGGGGUAAAGGCCACCAAGCCGACGAUCUGUAGCUGGUCUGAGAGGACGACCAGCCACACUGGGACUGAGACACGGCCCAGACUCCUACGGGAGGCAGCAGUGGGGAAUUUUGGACAAUGGGCNCAAGCCUGAUCCAGCCAUG
RNAcentral lists this ribosomal RNA (365 nucleotides) under uncultured bacterium. RNAcentral describes it as "bacterial SSU rRNA". It matches the Rfam family "Bacterial small subunit ribosomal RNA", at positions 29 to 396 of the family's 1533-position model. The record is from RNAcentral.